UGAAAGAUAGCAGAGAUGCUGUCAAGAACGAUAAAGCCUCAAAAUCCUCAGCUGUUAGCUCUCUCCCACUCAUUCUUGAUGUGGAUGACUUUAAGAAUGAACCAAAGAGGGUGGAUUGCGCUCGAUAGCCGCUUGAGUAAUUAAUCUCAAGAAGGAGGUCUCUGUCCAAGAUUCUAAGCACCGCAAGACACUCGCUGAGCUGGAAAAAGGUGUAGAUGGAUUGUUUGAUAGCUUUGCAAGGUUGGACUCACGUAUUUCAAGUGUUGGACAGACUGCUGCAAAGAUCGGAGAUCAUUUGCAGAGUGCAGAUGCUCAGCGAGAAACUGCUAGUCAAACAAUAGAGCUUAUAAAGUAUUUGAUGGAGUUCAACAGCAGCCCAGGAGACCUAAAAUCGCUUGGAGUCAUAGGCUUUCUUAUCCUUUUCAGUGGUGUUUGUCCUUGUGUAGAACUGGAGAACAGAUUGCUUGCUCGUUUUGAUGCAGCAUCACAGCGGAGAGAAUUGUCUUCAAUGGCUGAAUGUGCUAAAAUUUUAUCUCAGGUAAAUACUUUUGUUAGGUCUGAUAUGUAAUAAUUUAAUUAUUAUUGAUUUUAAACUUAAUAGCUUCAUUAAGUAGCUCUUCCUUCCCUC
Molecule: non-coding RNA, 628 nt
Organism: Corylus avellana
Lineage: Eukaryota; Viridiplantae; Streptophyta; Magnoliopsida; Fagales; Betulaceae
Source: RefSeq, a predicted model, not a curated record